GACGAACGCUGGCGGCAUGCCUAAUACAUGCAAGUCGAGCGGACCCGAGGUGCUUGCACCUCAAUGGGUCAGCGGCGGACGGGUGAGUAACACGUGGGCAACCUGCCCAACAGACUGGGAUAACUCCGGGAAACCGGAGCUAAUACCGGAUAUCCUCUUUUCACCACCUGGUGAAAAGAGAAAAGGCGGUUUCGGCCGCCACUGUUGGAUGGGCCCGCGGCGCAUUAGCUAGUUGGUGAGGGAAGGGCUCACCAAGGCGACGAUGCGGAGCCGACCUGAGAGGGUGAUCGGCCGCACUGGAACUGAGACACGGGCCAGACUCCUACGGGAGGCAGCAGUAGGGAAUCAUCCGCAAUGGGCGAAAGCCUGACGGUGCAAUGCCGCGUGAGUGAUGAAGGUUUUCGGAUCGUAAAGCUCUGUUGUGAGGGAAGAACAAGUUCGGGAGGAAAUGCCCGAGCCGUGACGGUACCUCACCAGAAAGCCACGGCUAACUACGUGCCAGCAGCCGCAGUAA
This 514-nucleotide ribosomal RNA is filed under the name uncultured bacterium. RNAcentral describes it as "partial 16S ribosomal RNA". It matches the Rfam family "Bacterial small subunit ribosomal RNA", at positions 28 to 523 of the family's 1533-position model. The record is from RNAcentral.